AUGAACCAUCGAACAAACCUCAAUCAUUUAAAUAAUAAGUGGCUGCGAAGGACAACAGAAACAAACAAUAUCAUCGUUCAAAGGUGAUACAUGUGUUGACGAUUUUAUAAAUAUGCACCAACCGUAAUGCACCCUCUCUCGCAGGGCAAUGCCAUUGUUUCGUUGACGUGAGUCAGAUCGAGUGUUUAAUAACUUAUAUUUUGGUGUCCACUGCAAAAGAAAAAGGGGUAAUAUUUUAUAGGAUGUGGU
This 249-nucleotide long non-coding RNA is filed under the name Elaeis guineensis (African oil palm). Its description in RNAcentral is "long non-coding RNA (EGUI_LNC006716)". The record is from RNAcentral. Lineage: Eukaryota; Viridiplantae; Streptophyta; Magnoliopsida; Arecales; Arecaceae.